This 1276-nucleotide long non-coding RNA is filed under the name Mus musculus (house mouse). Its description in RNAcentral is "long non-coding RNA chr5:108503076-108504352". Lineage: Eukaryota; Metazoa; Chordata; Mammalia; Rodentia; Muridae. The record is from RNAcentral.
AAAGGGAAUAUAGGUGGAAUUUCAAAAUCUGUGCGUUCAGCUAUUUGGUUUUGCCUUUUUCACUGUUAUUAUAAGAAUGCUGUUACCGGGAUUAUGUGCGUGCAAGAGUGAGUGUGUGUGUGUUUGCGUGUGUGUGUGUUUGCGUUUGUGUGUGUGUGUGUGUGUACGUACUUUCUAUCAAUAUUAAAAGAUAAACAGCCAGGCAGGAAGUGACGAGGUUAGCACCAUCUUAGGCUUGCAUCUCUGUGGGUGCACCCAAGUCCUCGAGCUAAAUCUGUGACUAAGCCACCCUGGGUGUUGGGGUUUCACUGUCCCCACCUGGUAGUGCUACCCUCCACUGGCCUGCAGCUCCUGACACCUGCCCUGGCCAGCAGAGACUUGGAGGCUGGUGUGUUUCCUUUCUAAGGGCAUACAGGGUGGUGUAUUACAGUGCUCUGAAAUGUAUCAUUAGAUUUAAUGUUCCAGUAAUGAGCCAACUGAGUUCUACUUUGUAUAUGGAUAUGUUCCUAAAACAUUGACAGUAAAUUGAGUGCAGAUAGUGAAAUUCCCACACACACACCUACACACACACACACACACACACACACACACACAACACACGUGUCUGUUUCCUCAGGAAAUCAUUUAAGCCCCAACACAUCACAUGUGACCUUAACAUGAAAACAAAAGUUUUCUCUGCCUUGAUAUUAAAUACACUAAGUAAAUAAACUGAGAUGCGUAGAUUAGGAAAUCACUUAAUUGUACCACAGUCUGCAUAUCUUUGCAUUCCUGCAGGCAGGGAUUAGACCAUGGUCUCACACCCAGUGUUCCUGUUGUCAUUUACUUCCAUCCAAGAGCACAUUUGGAGAAAGAACUAAGGUGUGCCUGUGAGAUGGAACUGAGGUGUGCCUGUGUGUCACUUUAGCCAGUGACUCACACUCACUGUUUAGUUCCAGCUCUCAACUUGUGCCAGACACGGUUUUCCCAAGCGAAGGUAACAUCAGGUUACGGACAGCAGCGCCACCUGAGCUCUCACGCUGGAGCGCAGCCACAGCUAGCAACGGUCACGGUGUAUGAAAUGCUGCAGAUACAGAGUUUUUGACUGUUUAAUUUGAAAGUUUACAUUUUUUAUGAUUGCGUUAGUGUGUAAUUUUUGUACCAUCAGUGGCUAGUUUUUGUCUAAAAUCUUUUUUGGAAUAUUGCUUAAUGUUUUGAUUUUAUGAUAGUGAAGCUUGUAUUCAGUGUUUUGCCAAUUAAUAUUAUAUGCUUGUAAUAAAAGCAGAAGAAAAACUUAACU